Mauremys mutica (yellowpond turtle) is the source of this 1467-nucleotide long non-coding RNA. RefSeq lists it as uncharacterized. NCBI's taxonomy places the organism in Eukaryota, Metazoa, Chordata, Testudines, Geoemydidae. The transcript is spliced from 3 exons. The record is from RefSeq and is a predicted model, not a curated record.
GGGAGGGAGGGAUGAAGUAUUGAUAAGGGAGGAGAGGGUGUGUGUGUGUGUGGGGAAAACCCAAAGAAGUUAAUGAGAAACACCAGGGAACUAAGGGGAAUGGGAGAAGAGAGGAAAAAAAGAGAGGAGUGGGCAAAGAGGCUAGAAGAGAAGAGAAGAGAAAGGAGAAGCACAGAAGUGGAUGGGGGUAAGAACCCAGACGGUUUCUUUAGCAUCAGGUAGAAUCCCAAUUGCCUUUGUCAGGAUAUGCUCAAAGCAGCCAGUUGUAACUACUAGGGGUUAACAAUGCAGGUAUUUGUACAAUUCAAAAAGGAAAGGUUACAACUGGCCAUAGCUGAGAGCUGGCAUCAGCUUGGUUCUUACCUUUCAGGUCCAACUGCAACGUGAUCUCUUAUUUCUGUUGAUUUGAUCACUGCAGCUUGUCUGUCAGAAGUAGUAAGAGAACCUGUUCAUAUCAAGAGGUAAGGAAUGCACCUUCUCCUAGCAAUGGAGUGGAAACUAACCAAUCUCAGUGUACUUUCAGGUGAAGAAAGUGAAUCUAGCCUUUGCUGUCAAAGGCUACAAGCAGUUUCAUAAGAAGAAAGCAAGAUACAUAACCAAAGCUUCUGAGAGGUUACAGAAGUAUUGACUUGCUCUAGCCAAGAAUAAGGAAAGCACUUAUACCUACUAGAUUAACAGUACAGCUGAUUGUAUGGAGAGAAAGAUAAACCAAUCCAGCAAUUCACCACACAGAAGGUGGUCAUAUUUCAAGAUGCAAGGAUGACACAUGGCUGUAGUUUACAGGAAGGAAUUAGCUGAUCCAUCCUUUUAAGGAGGUAAGAAAUAUGGGAAUGAUGUAUUGUAAUAGUCAAUGGUUCUGGUCAUCCAUUCAGGUGGAAGGAAGGUAACUGAGGAAAUCUUCAUCUCUCUAAAGAGCACAAGAAAUUGCUGUACUGAAUAAAGCACUAAAAAUGGGAGCUACCUGUUCAGAUGAAAGGAAAGUAAUUGGUAAUUCUAACCAAUGAUGAUGAUCUUUGUUCCUUUUUCCUUCCCAGAGAAGGCCAUUGCUUGUUCCUACAAGGAUGUAACAGGGAAGUUAUUUCAAAGAACAAGUGCAACUAACCAGAGUGUGAAGAUGAGCAUUGAGCCUGUUCUUGCAUUUGCAGAGAGGAGUUGUCCAGCUGAUUCUAGUUGUGCCUAAUUGAUCAUUGUUGCUUAUUUUUCAGAUGUCAAGAAAUAAGCGGAACUGAUCAUUUCUAUCAAGAGGUAAGGAACGCACCUCCUCACAGCAUGGAGGCAGGAAUGAAAGGCUCUGUUUCUAUUUUCAGAUGAAAGGAAGGUCUUACCAUUCAAGGGAGGAUGAGAGGCUGCUGAAUUUAAGAAAAAAAAGUCAGACAGGUUUUGCUCUUCUGAGAUAUGAAGAGACCAGGUGGUCAUUCCUACCAGGGAGAAGUGAGGCUUAGUGGCGUGGCUGUCCUGGGCAAGAAG